This 497-nucleotide ribosomal RNA is filed under the name uncultured bacterium. RNAcentral's name for it is "partial 16S ribosomal RNA". It matches the Rfam family "Bacterial small subunit ribosomal RNA", at positions 28 to 507 of the family's 1533-position model. The record is from RNAcentral.
GAUGAACGCUGGCGGCGUGCCUAAUACAUGCAAGUCGAGCGAACGGACGAGAAGCUUGCUUCUCUGAUGUUAGCGGCGGACGGGUGAGUAACACGUGGAUAACCUACCUAUAAGACUGGGAUAACUUCGGGAAACCGUAGCUAAUACCGGAUAAUAUUUUGAACCGCAUGGUUCAAAAGUGAAAGACGGUCUUGCUGUCACUUAUAGAUGGAUCCGCGCUGCAUUAGAUAGUUGGUAAGGUAACGGCUUACCAAGGCAACGAUGCAUAGCCGACCUGAGAGGAUGAUCGGCCACACUGGAACUGAGACACGGUCCAGACUCCUACGGGAGGCAGCAGUAGGGAAUCUUCCGCAAUGGGCGAAAGCCUGACGGAGCAACACCGCGUGAGUGAUGAAGGUCUUCGGAUCGUAAAACUCUGUUAUUAGGGAAGAACAUAUGUGUAAGUAACUGUGCACAUCUUGACGGUACCUAAACAGAAAGCCACGGCUAACUACGUG